This 144-nucleotide unclassified non-coding RNA is filed under the name Helotiaceae sp. RNAcentral describes it as "partial internal transcribed spacer 2". Lineage: Eukaryota; Fungi; Ascomycota; Leotiomycetes; Helotiales; Helotiaceae. The record is from RNAcentral. RNAcentral also lists the same sequence under 1 other name.
UGACCAAUCCCGCGUGCGGGGUCUUGGGCACCGCCGCCUGGCGGGCCUCAAAAUCAGUGGCGGUCCGGCCGGGCUCUGAGCGUAGUAAAUCUUCUCGCUACAGGGUCCCGGGCGGCACUGGCCAGCAACCCCCAAUCUUUCACA